RNAcentral lists this ribosomal RNA (499 nucleotides) under Aphanizomenon gracile 9ES36S1. RNAcentral's name for it is "bacterial SSU rRNA". It matches the Rfam family "Bacterial small subunit ribosomal RNA", at positions 199 to 715 of the family's 1533-position model. Lineage: Bacteria; Bacillati; Cyanobacteriota; Cyanophyceae; Nostocales; Aphanizomenonaceae. The record is from RNAcentral.
GGUGAAAGGCUUGCUGCCUGAAGAAGAGCUUGCGUCUGAUUAGCUAGUUGGUGGGGUAAGAGCCUACCAAGGCGACGAUCAGUAGCUGGUCUGAGAGGAUGAUCAGCCACACUGGGACUGAGACACGGCCCAGACUCCUACGGGAGGCAGCAGUGGGGAAUUUUCCGCAAUGGGCGAAAGCCUGACGGAGCAAUACCGCGUGAGGGAGGAAGGCUCUUGGGUUGUAAACCUCUUUUCUCAGGGAAGAAGAAAGUGACGGUACCUGAGGAAUAAGCAUCGGCUAACUCCGUGCCAGCAGCCGCGGUAAUACGGAGGAUGCAAGCGUUAUCCGGAAUGAUUGGGCGUAAAGGGUCCGCAGGUGGCAUUGUAAGUCUGCUGUUAAAGAGUCACGCUCAACGUGAUAAAAGCAGUGGAAACUACAAAGCUAGAGUAUGGUCGGGGCAGAGGGAAUUCCUGGUGUAGCGGUGAAAUGCGUAGAUAUCAGGAAGAACAUCGGUGG